Molecule: ribosomal RNA, 821 nt
Filed under: uncultured Flexibacter sp.
Lineage: Bacteria; Pseudomonadati; Bacteroidota; Cytophagia; Cytophagales; Flexibacteraceae
Description: bacterial SSU rRNA
Rfam family: Bacterial small subunit ribosomal RNA
Source: RNAcentral
GAUUGCUUGCAAUCUGACGGCGACCGGCGAACGGGUGCGUAACGCGUAUAGAAUCUGCCUUGUACAGGAGGAUAGCCUUUAGAAAUGAAGAUUAAUACUCCAUAAUGCUGAGAGAUGGCAUCAUUUUUUAGUUAAAGAUUUAUCGGUACAAGAUGACUAUGCGUCCUAUUAGCUAGAUGGUAAGGUAACGGCUUACCAUGGCAACGAUAGGUAGGGGGUCUGAGAGGAUUAUCCCCCACACUGGUACUGAGACACGGACCAGACUCCUACGGGAGGCAGCAGUGAGGAAUAUUGGUCAAUGGGCGCAAGCCUGAACCAGCCAUGCCGCGUGCAGGAUGACUGCCCUAUGGGUUGUAAACUGCUUUUAUACAGGAAGAAACAGUCCCUCGUGAGGGGCCUUGACGGUACUGUAAGAAUAAGCACCGGCUAACUCCGUGCCAGCAGCCGCGGUAAUACGGAGGGUGCAAGCGUUAUCCGGAAUCAUUGGGUUUAAAGGGUCCGCAGGCGGUCAAUUAAGUCAGAGGUGAAAUCCUACAGCUUAACUGUAGAACUGCCUUUGAUACUGGUUGACUUGAGUUAUACGGAAGUAGGUAGAAUGUGUAGUGUAGCGGUGAAAUGCAUAGAUAUUACACAGAAUACCGAUUGCGAAGGCAGCCUACUACGUAUAUACUGACGCUCAUGGACGAAAGCGUGGGGAGCGAACAGGAUUAGAUACCCUGGUAGUCCACGCCGUAAACGAUGGACACUAGUUGUAGGGCGUAAGUUCAGUGACUAAGCGAAAGUGAUAAGUGUCCCACCUGGGGAGUACGAUCGCAAGAUUG